CGUUCCCGGGUCUUGUACACACCGCCCGUCACACCAUGGGAGCGGGUUUUGCCAGAAGUAGGUAGCUUAACCGCAAGGGGGGCGCUUACCACGGUAGGAUUCGUGACUGGGGUG
RNAcentral lists this ribosomal RNA (114 nucleotides) under uncultured bacterium. Its description in RNAcentral is "partial 16S ribosomal RNA". It matches the Rfam family "Bacterial small subunit ribosomal RNA", at positions 1369 to 1482 of the family's 1533-position model. The record is from RNAcentral.